AUUGAACGCUGGCGGCAGGCCUAACACAUGCAAGUCGAACGGUAACAGGGAGCAGCUUGCUGAUUCGCUGACGAGUGGCGGACGGGUGAGUCAUGUCUGGGAAACUGCCUGAUGGAGGGGGAUAACUACUGGAAACGGUAGCUAAUACCGCAUAACGUCGCAAGACCAAAGAGGGGGAGCUUCGGGCGUCUUGCCAUCGGAGGUGCCCAGAUGGUAUUCGCUAGUAGGUGGGGUAACGGCUCACCUAGGCGACGAGCGCUAGCUGGUGUGAGAGGAUGACCAGCCACCCUGGAAGUGAGCCACGGUCAAGACUCCUACGGGAGGCAGCAGUGGGGAAUAGUGGACAAAGGGCGCAAGCCUGAUGCAGCCAUGCCGCGUGUAUGAAGAAGGCCUUCGGGUUGUAAAGUACGUUCAGCGGGGAGAAAGGGAGUAAGGUUAAUACCUUGGCUGAUUGACGUUACUCGCAGAAGAAGCACCGGCUAACUACGUG
Molecule: ribosomal RNA, 490 nt
Filed under: uncultured bacterium
Lineage: Bacteria
Description: partial 16S ribosomal RNA
Rfam family: Bacterial small subunit ribosomal RNA
Source: RNAcentral